RNAcentral lists this ribosomal RNA (1144 nucleotides) under Amanita sp. 'pseudopenetrans'. RNAcentral describes it as "partial 28S ribosomal RNA". It matches the Rfam family "Eukaryotic large subunit ribosomal RNA", at positions 1 to 1109 of the family's 3401-position model. The record is from RNAcentral. Lineage: Eukaryota; Fungi; Basidiomycota; Agaricomycetes; Agaricales; Amanitaceae.
UUUGACCUCAAAUCAGGUAGGACUACCCGCUGAACUUAAGCAUAUCAAUAAGCGGAGGAAAAGAAACUAACAAGGAUUCCCCUAGUAACUGCGAGUGAAGCGGGAAAAGCUCAAAUUUGAAAUCUGGCAGUCUUUUUUUUCUUCUUUGGCUGUCCGAGUUGUAAUCUAGAGAAGUGCUUACCUGCACUGGACCAUGUAUAAGUCUCCUGGAAUGGAGCGUCACAGAGGGUGAGAAUCCCGUCUUUGACAUGGACCGCCAGUGUGUUGUGGUGUGCUCUCAAAGAGUCGAGUUGUUUGGGAAUGCAGCUCUAAAUGGGUGGUAAACUCCAUCUAAAGCUAAAUAUUGGCGAGAGACCGAUAGCGAACAAGUACCGUGAGGGAAAGAUGAAAAGGACUUUGGAAAGAGAGUUAAACAGUAUGUGAAAUUGUUGAAAGGGAAACGCUUGAAGUCAGUUAUGUCGGCUGGGGAUCAACCUAGCUGUCUUUUGCUGGGUGAAUUUCCUAGUCUGACAGGCCAACAUCAGUCUUGACUGCUGGAAAAGAGCAGAGGGAAUGUGGCACCUUCGGGUGUGUUAUAGCCCUUUGUCAUAUGUGGCAGUCGGGACUGAGGGAUGCAGCGUGCCGCGAGGCUGGGUUUCGACCACGUUCACGCUUAGGAUGUUGGCUUUUAAUGGCUUCAAUCGACCCGUCUUGAAACACGGACCAAGGAGUCUAACAUGCCUGCGAGUGUUUGGGUGGAAAACCCUUGCGCGCAAUGAAAGUGAAAGUUGAGAUCCCUGUCAUGGGGAGCAUCGACGCCCGGACUUGAGCUUUUAGCAAAGGAUCCGCGGUAGAGCAUGCAUGUUGGGACCCGAAAGAUGGUGAACUAUGCCUGAAUAGGGCAAAGCCAGAGGAAACUCUGGUGGAGGCUCGUAGCGAUUCUGACGUGCAAAUCGAUCGUCAAAUUUGGGUAUAGGGGCGAAAGACUAAUCGAACCAUCUAGUAGCUGGUUCCUGCCGAAGUUUCCCUCAGGAUAGCAGAAGCUCAUUAUCAGAUUUAUGUGGUAAAGCGAAUGAUUAGAGGCCUUGGGGUUGAAACAACCUUAACCUAUUCUCAAACUUUAAAUAUGUAAGAACGAGUUGUCACUUGAUUGGACUGCUCGGCG